This 254-nucleotide ribosomal RNA is filed under the name uncultured bacterium. Its description in RNAcentral is "partial 16S ribosomal RNA". It matches the Rfam family "Bacterial small subunit ribosomal RNA", at positions 524 to 776 of the family's 1533-position model. The record is from RNAcentral.
AACAGAGUCCCCAAGCGUUAUCCGGAUUUACUGGGCGUAAAGGGCGCGUAGGCGCUCCGUUAAGUUCUCCGUUAAAGCUCUAGGGCUCAACCUUAGAAGUGCGGAGAAUACUGGCGGAGUUGAGGACGCUAGGGGUUGGCGGAACGCACGGUGGAGGGGUGAAAUCCGUUGAUAUCGUGCGGAACACCGAAAGCGAAGGCAGCCAACUGGAGCGAUCCUGACGCUGAGGCGCGAAAGCGUGGGGAGCAAAAAGG